UGAGGAAUAUUGGUCAAUGGGGGCAACCCUGAACCAGCCAAGUCGCGUGAAGGAUGAAGGUCUUAUGGAUUGUAAACUUCUUUUACACGGGAAUAAAGUGGGGGACGUGUCCCCCUUUGCAUGUACCGUGUGAAUAAGGAUCGGCUAACUCCGUGCCAGCAGCCGCGGUAAUACGGAGGAUCCGAGCGUUAUCCGGAUUUAUUGGGUUUAAAGGGUGCGCAGGCGGAUUGGUAAGUCAGGGGUGAAAUCCCACAGCUCAACUGUGGAACUGCCUUUGAUACUGUCAGUCUAGAGUAUAGUUGAAGUUGGCGGAAUGUGUCAUGUAGCGGUGAAAUGCUUAGAUAUGACACAGAACACCGAUCGCGAAGGCAGCUAGCUAAGCUAUAACUGACGCUCAUGCACGAAAGCGUGGGGAUCAAACA
Molecule: ribosomal RNA, 422 nt
Filed under: uncultured bacterium
Lineage: Bacteria
Description: bacterial SSU rRNA
Rfam family: Bacterial small subunit ribosomal RNA
Source: RNAcentral